UAGACAUCCUGAAACCUCAUUGUU
This 24-nucleotide microRNA is filed under the name Sarcophilus harrisii (Tasmanian devil). RNAcentral describes it as "Sha-Mir-12475-P27b_5p (mature (guide))". Lineage: Eukaryota; Metazoa; Chordata; Mammalia; Dasyuromorphia; Dasyuridae. The record is from RNAcentral.